Long non-coding RNA from Bombus terrestris (buff-tailed bumblebee), 2748 nucleotides. RefSeq lists it as uncharacterized. The transcript is spliced from 3 exons. NCBI's taxonomy places the organism in Eukaryota, Metazoa, Arthropoda, Insecta, Hymenoptera, Apidae. The record is from RefSeq and is a predicted model, not a curated record.
UAUACCAUAUAAUUGAUGUAUCACAUAAGAUAUAUCGUAUUCAAUUUAUAUUAAAAUCCGUGACUUUGUCCCAAGUUUAUAAUGAUUCUGAACUGGAAUCUGUAUGUACAUGGCUUAUUAUUAUGGUCGAGGUGAGCUAACCUGCGUCGCAUCUUCAUUCUCACCCUCAAGCUCGAGCUUUUGUCGUUUUGUACGAUCAGCUAUUGACAAUAAAAAGUCGGCCAAAAUAUCCCUGCACGCGAGCAAACUUCCUUACACGAACGAAAGGAGGUCAGCCUAAGCAGCGGAGCACACAGAGAUUCUCAAUUCGAUCAACAUAUGAGCUGCAGCUCACCUAGUAUGAGUCGUAGAGAAGAAAACUAUGGUAUUCGGAGACGUAAACAACCCCGCGCGACGCUUCGCAAAAGAAGUGUCAGUUUGAACAUUCAACCUGCUUACUCGUGGAAAUCCACAAGAACAUAUCGAAAACCGCACUAUGAAAUUUCUGAAUGGAGAGUAUUAAUGUUUCCUCUAAUCCUUUACUUCCGCGAGUGUCCACAGUAAAAUCACACACGCAUCGCGAUUUUCCCAGCCGCGAGUGUCCACAAAAAAUACAACAAAUUACAAUAGAUGUUCGUUAUGUCCCUCGUUUUCUUGUAAACAGAUCCUGACUCUUCUCUUAAAAUUUUGCUGUAUUGUGUUUUCAUGUGUCUCAGUAGUAAAAAUCGAGAGGAUUUAAAUCUGGUGACUGAGCAGACCAAAACACAGGUCUUCUUCAACCGAUCUACCAUCCUGUUUCCAAAACAACUGGUCAAGUGCUCUUGCAGUACACGCACUACGCGCACUGAAUAUACAAUACACUCAAUUUCUUGCUUCAAAAUAGCUAAAACAUGGUAGUGUAAUGAUGGAGAGUUCAUUCAGAAAGAAAAAUUUACGGUACUCAUUACCGAUGAUUUCAUUUUCUUUGUAUAACUCGGAAUUAUUCAAGAACAGUUAUGAUAUUUAAGAAGUUCUUUUUGAAAGCAAGGGUACGAUAUUGAGGAAGCGAAGAGGCUGUAUAUCAAAAGUGUUUAAAAAAACCUAUUUUACACAAUCUUUAAACUUUAUAUAGCUAGAGAUUUAUUAGAUAUGCUCAUUGAAAAAGUGGACUUUCUGUUUAUCAAAUGGGUUUCGGAAAUAUCUCAAUUCUUCAAGCCUUAUUGUCUUCAGUUUUUAUGACCAUAACGUGUUUUAAACAUGGAAAGAAAAAAGUUAGAAGAAUGCUCUAAGAAAGCUCUAGUAUAGAAAAGAAGCAUAACUAUCGCAUUUAUUAUUUAUUUUGAAGCAAACAUUGUGACUAUAUUCAUGGAAUAAUAUAAAAUAUUAAUUUAACAUUGACAAGUGUUGAAAAACCGACUAUAAGUUUUUCGGUAAAUAUUCAUUUUUCAUCACAAAAUGUCAAAAUAAUAUUUGAAAGUGUUGUAUGCAAUGUAGCAGUCUUUAUAUUGUAGCCACAUUUAUUAUAGAAUGUAUACAUUUUCAAAACUUUCGCAUAUAUACUUUUGCUACGUUGCGGCGGACGGGAAUAAUGCAAAAGUGCGACGUUUAUACGUUGAAAAAUAUCCCAACAGGACUAUACUCGGCGCACAGACAUUUUGUGAUAUAGCUCUAUAGCUAUAUGGGAUAAUACGACUAUGGGCACAUUAAAACCUGUCUUAUCUGGCAUACGAAUUCAAUACGACGACACGGACCUGGGAGAUAGAACACUGCACCGUAUUCAACAAAAUCCCAAUUUGAGUACGAGGACUAUUACUGCUGAAAAAGGUGCCAGCAACAGCAUCGUAUGGUCAGUAUUGAAGGGAGAAAAUCUAUACCCGUAUAGUAUCCAGAAAGUUCAACAGCUAAGAAUGAAUGAGUAGGAAAGUCCAACGCGAUCCCAAUUUCUCCGCCAGAAUAUUAUUUACUGAUGAGGCAAAGUUUAACAAAUAUGCAAUCACAGAUAUGCGUAACGAACAUUUCUGGUUAUAGGACAAUCGCGGUGCGUGUGUGAUUUUGCUGUGGACACUCGCAGAGGCAAAGGAUUAGAGGAAACAUUAAUCUCCUCUACUCGGAAAUUUCAUAGGGUGGCUUUUGAUAUACUCUUAUGGAUUUCCACGAGUAAGCAGGUUUAAUGUUUAAUCUACCAUUUCUUUUGCGAAACGUCGCGCGGGGUUGUUUACGUCUCCGAAUACCACGGUUAACUUAUAGGAGGUAAACUGUCGCUCAUAUGUCGACCGAAUUGAGGAUCACUGUGCGCCCCGCUGCUUAGGUUGACCUCCUUUCGUUCAUGUAAGAAAGUUUGCACGUGUGCAGGGAUAUUUUGUCCGAUUUUUGAUUGUCAAUAACUAAAAAUUAAAACCGAAAAUGCAAUUUUUGUAUUCUUGCUUUUCGUCUUAUUUCGGCGUUAAGAAUCACUCCUUAAAUUAUAUAGAAACAGUAGCUGAACACCCUGUAUAUUUAUAUCUUUUAAAUUAAUAUAGAAAGGAUCUGUAACUAGAAUUAUGGCUUUAGGAAGAUAAACUUUAUAUAUAUGUGUAUAUUCGAAGAAUUUAACAAAAAAAGGACAAUCUUUUUCUAAGAAAAUUCACGAUACUUAUAGUUCUAUUACCUAUUGCCUCUUGUAAUUCUACAUCAAUCUUCAAUAUUUUCAUUCUAAAUACUUGUAAUAGAGUUAAUAAUAUUUUUAUAGAAACUAAAGAUACUUACUAAUGAUUUUUUGAAUAAUGAUACCCAGAAUCUCUCACAACGCGU